AGAGUUUGAUCCUGGCUCAGGAUGAACGCUGGCGGCGUGCCUAACACAUGCAAGUCGAACGAAGCACCUUACCGGAUUCUUCGAAUGAAAGUUUGGUGACUGAGUGGCGGACGGGUGAGUAACGCGUGGGUAACCUGCCCUGUACAGGGGGAUAACAGCUGGAAACGGCUGCUAAUACCGCAUAAGCGCACGAGGAGACAUCUCCUUGUGUGAAAAACUCCGGUGGUACAGGAUGGGCCCGCGUCUGAUUAGCUGGUUGGCAGGGUAACGGCCUACCAAGGCAACGAUCAGUAGCCGGUCUGAGAGGAUGAACGGCCACAUUGGAACUGAGACACGGUCCAAACUCCUACGGGAGGCAGCAGUGGGGAAUAUUGCACAAUGGGGGAAACCCUGAUGCAGCAACGCCGCGUGAGUGAAGAAGUAUUUCGGUAUGUAAAGCUCUAUCAGCAGGGAAGAUAAUGACGGUACCUGACUAAGAAGCUCCGGCUAAAUACGUGCCAGCAGCCGCGGUAAUACGUAUGGAGCAAGCGUUAUCCGGAUUUACUGGGUGUAAAGGGUGCGUAGGUGGCAGUGCAAGUCAGAUGUGAAAGGCCGGGGCUCAACCCCGGAGCUGCAUUUGAAACUGCUCGGCUAGAGUACAGGAGAGGCAGGCGGAAUUCCUAGUGUAGCGGUGAAAUGCGUAGAUAUUAGGAGGAACACCAGUGGCGAAGGCGGCCUGCUGGACUGUUACUGACACUGAGGCACGAAAGCGUGGGGAGCAAACAGGAUUAGAUACCCUGGUAGUCCACGCCGUAAACGAUGAAUACUAGGUGUCGGAGGAUUGACCCCUUCAGUGCCGCAGUUAACACAAUAAGUAAUCCACCUGGGGAGUACGACCGCAAGGUUGAAACUCAAAGGAAUUGACGGGGGCCCGCACAAGCAGUGGAGUAUGUGGUUUAAUUCGACGCAACGCGAAGAACCUUACCAAGUCUUGACAUCCCUUGACAGGCAUAGAAAUAUGUUUUCUCUUCGGAGCAAGGAGACAGGUGGUGCAUGGUUGUCGUCAGCUCGUGUCGUGAGAUGUUGGGUUAAGUCCCGCAACGAGCGCAACCCUUAUGGUCAGUUACUACGCAAGAGGACUCUGGCCAGACUGCCGUCGACAAAACGGAGGAAGGUGGGGAUGACGUCAAAUCAUCAUGCCCUUUAUGACUUGGGCUACACACGUACUACAAUGGCGUUAAACAAAGAGAAGCAAGACCGCGAGGUGGAGCAAAACUCAGAAACAACGUCCCAGUUCGGACUGCAGGCUGCAACUCGCCUGCACGAAGUCGGAAUUGCUAGUAAUCGUGGAUCAGCAUGCCACGGUGAAUACGUUCCCGGGCCUUGUACACACCGCCCGUCACACCAUGAGAGCCGGGGGGACCCGAAGUCGGUAGUCUAACCGCAAGGAGGACGCCGCCGAAGGUAAAACUGGUGAUUGGGGUGAAGUCGUAACAAGGUA
Molecule: ribosomal RNA, 1480 nt
Filed under: metagenome
Description: bacterial SSU rRNA
Rfam family: Bacterial small subunit ribosomal RNA
Source: RNAcentral